GACGAACGCUGGCGGCGUGCUUAACACAUGCAAGUCGAACGGAAAGGCCCUGCUUUUGUGGGGUGCUCGAGUGGCGAACGGGUGAGUAACACGUGAGUAACCUGCCCUUGACUUUGGGAUAACUUCAGGAAACUGGGGCUAAUACCGGAUAGGAGCUCCUGCUGCAUGGUGGGGGUUGGAAAGUUUCGGCGGUGGGGGAUGGACUCGCGGCUUAUCAGCUUGUUGGUGGGGUAGUGGCUUACCAAGGCUUUGACGGGUAGCCGGCCUGAGAGGGUUACCGGCCACAUUGGGACUGAGAUACGGCCCAGACUCCUACGGGAGGCAGCAGUGGGGAAUAUUGCACAAUGGGCGGAAGCCUGAUGCAGCAACGCCGCGUGCGGGAUGACGGCCUUCGGGUUGUAAACCGCUUUCGCAUGUGACGAAGCGUGAGUGACGGUAAUGGGUAAAGAAGCACCGGCUAACUACGUG
Molecule: ribosomal RNA, 468 nt
Filed under: uncultured bacterium
Lineage: Bacteria
Description: partial 16S ribosomal RNA
Rfam family: Bacterial small subunit ribosomal RNA
Source: RNAcentral